This 178-nucleotide unclassified non-coding RNA is filed under the name fungal sp. Its description in RNAcentral is "partial internal transcribed spacer region". The stretch from base 1 to 46 matches the Rfam family "Eukaryotic small subunit ribosomal RNA", at positions 1786 to 1831 of the family's 1831-position model. Lineage: Eukaryota; Fungi. The record is from RNAcentral.
AAGUCGUAACAAGGUUUCCGUAGGUGAACCUGCGGAAGGAUCAUUAAAAAUUUAUAUUCCGGGAAUUCGUUUCGUUUUUCCGGAUUAUUUGUAUUCAAAUCCCACUCUUUAUAAAUAUAUUAAUUAUAUAAAACAAAAAUAAAAAAGAAAACUUUCAACAACGGAUCUCUUGGCUCUC